AUACGUAGGGGGCGAGCGUUGUCCGGAAUGAUUGGGCGUAAAGGGCGCGUAGGCGGCCCGGUAAGUCUGGAGUGAAAGUCCUGUUUUUAAGAUGGGAAUUGCUUUGGAUACUGUCGGGCUUGAGUGCAGGAGAGGUAAGUGGAAUUCCCAGUGUAGCGGUGAAAUGCGUAGAGAUUGGGAGGAACGCCAGUGGCGAAGGCGACUUACUGGACUGUAACUGACGCUGAGGCGCGAAAGUGUGGGGAGCAAACAGGAUUAGAUACCCUGGUAGUCCACACUGUAAACGAUGAAUGCUAGGUGUAGGGGGUAUCGACCCCUUCUGUGCCGCAGUCAACACAAUAAGCAUUCCGCCUGGGGAGUACGGCCGCAAGGUUGAAACUCAAAGGAAUUGACGGGG
RNAcentral lists this ribosomal RNA (397 nucleotides) under uncultured bacterium. RNAcentral describes it as "partial 16S ribosomal RNA". It matches the Rfam family "Bacterial small subunit ribosomal RNA", at positions 523 to 918 of the family's 1533-position model. The record is from RNAcentral.